AUUAUUAGUAAUACCUGCUCCAUGUAAAUAUAAAUAGCCGCAGGAAUUUUACUGUGCUAAGGUAGCAUAAUCACUAGCCUUUUAAUUAAAGGCUUGUAUGAAGGGUAAAACAUUUAAAUUUCUUUUUUAUUUAAGUUCUUUAAAAUUAUAUUAAACAUAAAAAUAUGUUUAUUUAUUUAAAAGACGACAAGACCCUAUUGAACUUUACUGAAGUUUAGCUGGGGCAGCUAAUUAAUUAAUAUUUUAAUAUUUAUAAAUUUAUUCUUCUUUAAAUGACCCAAUAUAAUUUGAUUUUAUGAAUUAAGUUACCAUAGGGAUAACAGCGUAAUUUUUUUUAAAAGUUCAUAUUUAAAAAAAAGAUUGCGACCUCGAUGUUGAAUUAUUGUAACUAAUAUACGCAGUAGUAUAUAUAAGUAGGUCUGUUCGACCUUUAAUUCUUUACGUGAUC
RNAcentral lists this ribosomal RNA (448 nucleotides) under Trichonephila edulis (edible golden silk spider). Its description in RNAcentral is "Nephila edulis (edible golden silk spider) partial 16S ribosomal RNA". It matches the Rfam family "Bacterial large subunit ribosomal RNA", at positions 1845 to 2605 of the family's 2925-position model. Lineage: Eukaryota; Metazoa; Arthropoda; Arachnida; Araneae; Nephilidae. The record is from RNAcentral.